GUCUAUGGCCACACCAUGCUGAAUGCACCCAAUCUCAUCUGAUCUCAGAAGCUAAGCAGGGUCAGGCCUGGUUAGUACUUGGAUGGGAGAGUUCAAGGCCAGCCU
This 105-nucleotide ribosomal RNA is filed under the name Peromyscus maniculatus bairdii (prairie deer mouse). Lineage: Eukaryota; Metazoa; Chordata; Mammalia; Rodentia; Cricetidae. The record is from RNAcentral.